This 75-nucleotide transfer RNA is filed under the name Escherichia coli. Its description in RNAcentral is "tRNA-Val". It matches the Rfam family "tRNA". Rfam says of the family: Transfer RNA (tRNA) molecules are approximately 80 nucleotides in length. Their secondary structure includes four short double-helical elements and three loops (D, anti-codon, and T loops). The record is from RNAcentral. Lineage: Bacteria; Pseudomonadati; Pseudomonadota; Gammaproteobacteria; Enterobacterales; Enterobacteriaceae.
GGGUGAUUAGCUCAGCUGGGAGAGCACCUCCCUUACAAGGAGGGGGUCGGCGGUUCGAUCCCGCUCAAUCACCCA